RNAcentral lists this small RNA (505 nucleotides) under Pongo abelii (Sumatran orangutan). RNAcentral describes it as "processed transcript". Lineage: Eukaryota; Metazoa; Chordata; Mammalia; Primates; Hominidae. The record is from RNAcentral.
GCUCCCAAACUGAUGGGGGAGAGAGACAUCAUCCCCCAGCUCUGGGAGUUUCCAGUCUGAUGGAGGAGGCAGAGCCUGCUUCGGUAACUCUCACUCUGCGGGGGAAGACUCAGCCCUAUCCAGGGAGCUCUCACACUUUCAAUGGGGAGGCCCACCCAGAUCUGAAAAUGUCUAAUUUCAGGCUGGGCACAGUGGCUCACACCUGUAAUCCCAGCAUUUUGGAAGGCUGAGACAGGAAGAUGGCUUGAGGAAAAGAAUUUGACCAGCCUCGGCAACUAUCAAGACCUCAUCUCUACAAUGAAAAAACAUUUUUUUUUCAUUAGUCAGGUGUGUGGUAGCACGUCUGUAGUCCUAUGUACGUGGGAGGCUGAGUCGGGAGGAUCCCUUGUGCCCAGGAGUUUGAAGUUACAGUGAGCUGUGAUUGCGUCACUACAUUCCAGCCUGGGUGACAGAGCAAGACGCUGUCUUUAAUAAUAAUAAUAAUAAAAUUUAAAAUAACAAAAAU